GACGAACGCUGGCGGCGUGCCUAAUACAUGCAAGUAGAACGCUGAAGGAGGAGCUUGCUCUUCUGGAUGAGUUGCGAACGGGUGAGUAACGCGUAGGUAACCUGCCUGGUAGCGGGGGAUAACUAUUGGAAACGAUAGCUAAUACCGCAUAAUAGUAGAUGUUGCAUGACAUUUACUUAAAAGGUGCAAUUGCAUCACUACCAGAUGGACCUGCGUUGUAUUAGCUAGUUGGUGGGGUAACGGCUCACCAAGGCGACGAUACAUAGCCGACCUGAGAGGGUGAUCGGCCACACUGGGACUGAGACACGGCCCAGACUCCUACGGGAGGCAGCAGUAGGGAAUCUUCGGCAAUGGACGAAAGUCUGACCGAGCAACGCCGCGUGAGUGAAGAAGGUUUUCGGAUCGUAAAGCUCUGUUGUAAGAGAAGAACGAGUGUGAGAGUGGAAAGUUCACACUGUGACGGUAUCUUACCAGAAAGGGACGGCUAACUACGUGCCAGCAGCCGCGGUAAUACGUAGGUCCCGAGCGUUGUCCGGAUUUAUUGGGCGUAAAGCGAGCGCAGGCGGUUAGAUAAGUCUGAAGUUAAAGGCUGUGGCUUAACCAUAGUACGCUUUGGAAACUGUUUAACUUGAGUGCAAGAGGGGAGAGUGGAAUUCCAUGUGUAGCGGUGAAAUGCGUAGAUAUAUGGAGGAACACCGGUGGCGAAAGCGGCUCUCUGGCUUGUAACUGACGCUGAGGCUCGAAAGCGUGGGGAGCAAACAGG
This 763-nucleotide ribosomal RNA is filed under the name uncultured Streptococcus sp. RNAcentral's name for it is "bacterial SSU rRNA". It matches the Rfam family "Bacterial small subunit ribosomal RNA", at positions 28 to 776 of the family's 1533-position model. Lineage: Bacteria; Bacillati; Bacillota; Bacilli; Lactobacillales; Streptococcaceae. The record is from RNAcentral.